RNAcentral lists this ribosomal RNA (265 nucleotides) under uncultured prokaryote. RNAcentral's name for it is "partial 16S ribosomal RNA". It matches the Rfam family "Bacterial small subunit ribosomal RNA", at positions 524 to 788 of the family's 1533-position model. The record is from RNAcentral.
UACGUAGGUGGCAAGCGUUAUCCGGAAUUAUUGGGCGUAAAGAGCGCGCAGGUGGUUGAUUAAGUCUGAUGUGAAAGCCCACGGCUUAACCGUGGAGGGUCAUUGGAAACUGGUCGACUUGAGUGCAGAAGAGGGAAGUGGAAUUCCAUGUGUAGCGGUGAAAUGCGUAGAGAUAUGGAGGAACACCAGUGGCGAAGGCGGCUUCCUGGUCUGUAACUGACACUGAGGCGCGAAAGCGUGGGGGCGAAACAGGAUUAGAUACCCG